GCCGCAUAAACGCUCGAUUGUGGAGUUGAUUUGUAAUCAGUAGGUCCCGGGUUCGACUCCUGGUGCCGGCACCA
Molecule: transfer RNA, 74 nt
Filed under: Gammaproteobacteria bacterium
Lineage: Bacteria; Pseudomonadati; Pseudomonadota; Gammaproteobacteria
Description: tRNA-Ser
Source: RNAcentral